Molecule: ribosomal RNA, 253 nt
Filed under: uncultured bacterium
Lineage: Bacteria
Description: partial 16S ribosomal RNA
Rfam family: Bacterial small subunit ribosomal RNA
Source: RNAcentral
UACGUAGGAUCCAAGCGUUGUCCGGAUUUACUGGGUGUAAAGGGUGCGCAGGCGGACUGGUUAGUCUGGGGUGAAAUCUCAUCGCUUAACGGUGAAACUGCCUUAGAUACUGCCAGUCUUGAAUCAGCGAGAGGUUCGUGGAAUUCCGAGUGUAGCAGUGAAAUGUGUAGAUAUUCGGAAGAACACCAGUGGCGAAGGCGGCGAACUGGCGCUCGAUUGACGCUCAGGCACGAAAGCAUGGGGAUCAAACAGG